CUUCUGUAUUUUGUCUUCUCUAGAGCUCCCAGAGCAACAUUUUAUUAUUGAGGAUGAGUUUCCAUCUGACCAGCAGCUCUGGAACCUUGAGAGGAAUCCCAGUCUGGACCAAGAGGAGCCAGAACCUCCACAGAUUAAGGAGCAGCAGGAGGAGCACUGCAUCGAGCUCCCAGAGCAACAUUUUAUUAUUGAGGACGAGUUUCCAUCUGAACAGCGGCUCUGGAACCUUGAGAGGAAUCCCAGUCUGGACCAAGACGAGCCAGAACCUCCACAGAUUAAAGAGGAGGAGGAGCACUGCAUCGGUCUGGAAGUAGAGCAGCUUGAACUGAAGCAGGAGGAUCAAGAUAACGUUUUGUUGAAUCCUACUCUCAAGGAAAGUGACCACAGUGAACCAGAGACAAGUGACAAUCAGCUCCUCUCCCACCGCUCAGCUCAGAGCCAAGAUCUCAACGAACGCAAGCAUGGAAACUCAAAAUCAGUUAAAAAUGCAGAGCAGGCAUCAGAAAAGGAACAUCAUGUCAUCACAAGAGCAAAAGAAAGCACAAGUCCCAGUAACCUUGCAUGUAGCACUACCAUGUCAAAUAUUGUGCCGAAUAUCUGCAAGAGUAAAAAGGUUUUUCAGUGUGA
Limanda limanda (common dab) is the source of this 627-nucleotide long non-coding RNA. RefSeq lists it as uncharacterized. NCBI's taxonomy places the organism in Eukaryota, Metazoa, Chordata, Actinopteri, Pleuronectiformes, Pleuronectidae. The transcript has 2 exons. The record is from RefSeq and is a predicted model, not a curated record.